RNAcentral lists this ribosomal RNA (492 nucleotides) under uncultured bacterium. Its description in RNAcentral is "partial 16S ribosomal RNA". It matches the Rfam family "Bacterial small subunit ribosomal RNA", at positions 29 to 507 of the family's 1533-position model. The record is from RNAcentral.
AGUGAACGCUGGCGGUAGGCCUAACACAUGCAAGUCGAACGGCAGCACAGUAAGAGCUUGCUCUUACGGGUGGCGAGUGGCGGACGGGUGAGGAAUACAUCGGAAUCUACUUUUUCGUGGGGGAUAGCGUAGGGAAACUUACGCUAAUACCGCAUACGACCUACGGGUGAAAGCAGGGGAUCUUCGGACCUUGCGCGAUUGAAUGAGCCGAUGUCGGAUUAGCUAGUUGGCGGGGUAAAGGCCCACCAAGGCGACGAUCCGUAGCUGGUCUGAGAGGAUGAUCAGCCACACUGGAACUGAGACACGGUCCAGACUCCUACGGGAGGCAGCAGUGGGGAAUAUUGGACAAUGGGCGCAAGCCUGAUCCAGCCAUACCGCGUGGGUGAAGAAGGCCUUCGGGUUGUAAAGCCCUUUUGUUGGGAAAGAAAAGCAGCAGGUUAAUACCCCGCUGUUCUGACGGUACCCAAAGAAUAAGCACCGGCCAACUUCGUG